GGUUCGAUCCUGGCUCAGAUUGGAACGCUGGCGGGAUGCUUUACACACAUGCAAGUCGAACGGCAGCACGGACUUCGGUCUGGUGGCGAGUGGCGAACGGGUGAGUAAUGUAUCGGAACGUGCCUAGUAGCGGGGAUAACUACGAAAGUUGUAGCUAAUACCGCAUACGCCUCGGGGAAAGCGGGGGACCCGGCCUCGCACUAUUAGAGUGGCCGAUAUCGGAUUAGCUAGGUUGGUGGGUAACGGCUCACCAAGGCGACGAUCCGUAGCUGGUUUGAGAGGACGACCAGCCACACCGGGACUGAGACACGGCCCAGACUCCUACGGGAGGCAGCAGUGGGGAAUUUUGGACAAUGGGGAAACCCUGAUCCAGCCAUCCCGCGUGCGAUGAAGGCCUUCGGGUUGUAAGGCACUUUUGCAGGAAGAAACGGCACGGGAUAAUACCCCGUGUAACUGACGGUACCUGCAGAAUAAGCACCGGCUAACUACGUGCCAGCAGCCGCGGUAAUACGUAGGGUGCAAGCGUUAAUCGGAAUUACUGGGCGUAAAGCGUGGCGCAGGCGUUCGAAAGAAAAGAUGCAAAAUCCCAGAGCUUAACUUUGGAACUGCAUUUAACUACUGAAGUAGAGUGUGUCAGAGGGAGGUGGAAAUCUGCGUAGCAGGAAUGCGUAGAUAUGCGGAGGAACACCACGGCGAAGCGCAGCCUCCUGGGAUAACACUGACGCUCAUGCACGAAAGCGUGGGAGCAAACAGGAUUAGAUACCCUGGUAGUCCACGCCCUAAACGAUGUCAAUCUGAUAAGCUGCUGGGGCCUUCGGCCUUGGCAGCGCAGCCAACGCGUGAAGUUGACCGCCUGGGGAGUACGGUCGCAAGAUUAAACCUUCCAAAGGAAUUGACGGGGACUCGCACAAGCGGAUGAUGAUUGUCUUGAUGCAACGGCGAAAACCUUACCUACCCUUGACAUGUCUGGAAUCCCGAAGUGAUUUGGGAGGUUUGAAGAGAACCGGAACACAGGUGCUGCAUGGCUGUCGUCAGCUCGUGUCGUGAGAUGUUGGGUUAAGUCCGCAACGAGCGCAACCCUUGUCAUUAGUUACACAAAGGCACUCCCUGACGAGACUGCCGGUGACAACCGAGGAAGGUGGGAUAAUGUCAAGUCCUCAUGGCCCUUAUGGGUAGGGCUUCGUCGUCAUACAAUUGGCCGGGACAGAGGGUCGCCAACCCGCGAGGGGGAGCCAAUCCCAGAAACCCGAUCGUAGUCCGAUCGCAGUCUGCAACUCGACUGCGUGAAGUCGGAAUCGCUAGUAAUCGCGGAUCAGCAUGUCGCGGUGAAUACGUUCCCGGGUCUUGUACACACCGCCCGUCACACCAUGCGGAGGGUUUUACCAGAAGUAGUUAGCCUAACCGUAAGGAGGGCGAUUACCACGGUAGGAUUCAUGACUGGGGUGAAGUCGUAACAAGGU
This 1460-nucleotide ribosomal RNA is filed under the name uncultured Bordetella sp. RNAcentral describes it as "partial 16S-23S ribosomal RNA intergenic spacer". It matches the Rfam family "Bacterial small subunit ribosomal RNA". The record is from RNAcentral. Lineage: Bacteria; Pseudomonadati; Pseudomonadota; Betaproteobacteria; Burkholderiales; Alcaligenaceae.